This 404-nucleotide long non-coding RNA is filed under the name Capsicum annuum. RNAcentral's name for it is "long non-coding RNA (CANN_LNC015625)". Lineage: Eukaryota; Viridiplantae; Streptophyta; Magnoliopsida; Solanales; Solanaceae. The record is from RNAcentral.
UUUGUACUAUGUUUAGCCAAUUCCGUGAUGUAUCUUCAUUCUGAUACAUAUUUGACAAUGACUUUUGAUGGAUUUAAUGGAGUUUCACCAAAAAUUGAUCGGAGCAAUGGAGAUAGUGGUGACACUGCGACAACGGUUAGAUGGUGGUGUUGGGUCUUUUUGAUACGUUUUUUUAAUGACCUUUGGCGAGGAUGAAUUGGGUUCAACGGUGAUGGAGGGGGUGGCGAUAGAGGUGUUUUGCCAGUGGGUGACGGUCGGCUGGAAGAGAGUAAUUUUUUGGUCGGUGAUGGAGGUGUUUCGGCCACACUUUUAGGUCAUUAGGUGAUAAUGGAGGAGGAAUGUUAUGUAUCGUCCUUUUUGAGAGAGAAGGUGAAAGUUGAAAUUACUUUGUAGAGGUGAGAUUU